Molecule: ribosomal RNA, 425 nt
Filed under: uncultured bacterium
Lineage: Bacteria
Description: partial 16S ribosomal RNA
Rfam family: Bacterial small subunit ribosomal RNA
Source: RNAcentral
GUGGGGAAUCUUGCGCAAUGGGCGAAAGCCUGACGCAGCCAUGCCGCGUGGAUGAUGAAGGUCUUAGGAUUGUAAAAUCCUUUCACCGGUGAAGAUAAUGACUGUAGCCGGAGAAGAAGCCCCGGCUAACUUCGUGCCAGCAGCCGCGGUAAUACGAAGGGGGCUAGCGUUGCUCGGAAUUACUGGGCGUAAAGGGAGCGUAGGCGGACAUUUAAGUCAGGGGUGAAAUCCCGAGGCUCAACCUCGGAACUGCCUUUGAUACUGGGUGUCUUGAGUGUGAGAGAGGUGAGUGGAACUCCGAGUGUAGAGGUGAAAUUCGUAGAUAUUCGGAAGAACACCAGUGGCGAAGGCGACUCACUGGCUCAUUACUGACGCUGAGGCUCGAAAGCGUGGGGAGCAAACAGGAUUAGAAACCCUAGUAGUCC